UACCACCCCACCCCCCCCCCCCCACCCCCCACCCCCCAAAAAAAAGACUCGAGCCGUGUGGUACCCCAGGGGACGUAACACAAACACUUACUGUUCCACUCCUGAACUGGAGGCUUUGAAAUCAGGAUUUUCAUCCUUAGACCAGUCACUCUUGAAGGACACACAGCUGGAUCCAGGUCCAGGUCCAGGUCCAGAUCCAGAUCCAGGUCCAGGUCCAGAUCCAGGUCCAGGUCCAGAUCCAGAUCUCUGUUGGGUCCUGAUGAGAAAUCAUUUGUUUUAUUAAAAACUCAUUUAUUUUGUAAUGGAGGUUCAUCAGAUUAUCUUAAUGUUUGAACUAUUGAUCUCAGAUCAUGAUCAGUCUGAUCUACAGUGAAACAGUCUGUUCAAAUUCUUCUAACAACUGUGUGACACUGAAUAGAUUUAUUUCAGUUAAGUUCAUGACAUGUUUUUGACAACACUUACAUUUCCACUCGUGAACUGAUGGACUUGAAGAGAGGAGGAGGAUCCUUAGACCAGUCACUCCUGAAGGACACACAGCUGGAUCCAGAUCCAGAUCCAGAUCCAGGUCCAGAUCCAGAUCCAGGUUGGUUCCUGUGAAGACUCUGAGCUUUGCUCUGGUUGUCAUGGUUACCACCUCUCCUUUCUGUCGAGGGAGGGGCUCCCUCCCACUGAUCCAUGCUGCUGGAUCCACUGGAUCAGCUCCCACAGCCCUUCAUCUGCAGAGGAAACCCUCAUCAUCAUCAGCUCUGAUCCUCCUCCACUGAUGGGCUCUUCUCUGGUGUUUCCUCUCAGGUUCAGGUGAAUGCAGUCAGAGGAAGCUGCUGAACAUCAGCUGCUGAACAUCACUUCUGCUCUCCCUCCACCAGAUGGAGACAUGGAGCUCAUUCACUCACUCUGACCAACAAACAACAAACUUCCUGUUUCUACUAGGAUGCAAUCAUCCAGUUUGCUGACGGUUGGAUUUGUGUUGAAAUCCUUUGAUUCCACAGAUGAUUUCACUGUCAAACAACAUAAGACAGAAAUCCCAUUUGGUUUUCAAGUGGACAG
RNAcentral lists this long non-coding RNA (1047 nucleotides) under Oryzias javanicus (javanese ricefish). Its description in RNAcentral is "lncRNA (ENSOJAG00000005632.1)". The record is from RNAcentral. Lineage: Eukaryota; Metazoa; Chordata; Actinopteri; Beloniformes; Adrianichthyidae.